RNAcentral lists this ribosomal RNA (499 nucleotides) under uncultured bacterium. RNAcentral describes it as "bacterial SSU rRNA". It matches the Rfam family "Bacterial small subunit ribosomal RNA", at positions 791 to 1281 of the family's 1533-position model. The record is from RNAcentral.
UAGUCCACGCCGUAAACGAUGAAUGCUAGGUGUUGGGGGUAUUCACCCCCUCAGUGCCGCAGUUAACGCAUUAAGCAUUCCGCCUGGGGAGUACGGUCGCAAGAUUAAAAACUCAAAAGGAAUUGACGGGGGCCCGCACAAGCGGUGGAGUAUGUGGUUUAAUUCGACGCAACGCGCAGAACCUUACCCAGCCUUGACAUCCUGAGAAUCUCUGUGAAAGCGGGGAGUGCCACCUCACGGUGGAGCUCAGUGACAGGUGCUGCAUGGCUGUCGUCAGCUCGUGUCGUGAGAUGUUCGGUUAAGUCCGGCAACGAGCGCAACCCCUGUCGUUAGUUGCCAGCAUUCAGUUGGGCACUCUAGCGAGACUCCCGGUGUUAAACCGGCGGAAGAUGGGGAUGACGUCAAGUACCUCAUGGCCCUUAUGGCUGGGGCUACACACGUACUACAAUGGCAUCUACAGAGGGCUGCGAACUCGCGAGAGUAAGCCAAUCCCAAAAAG